This 217-nucleotide ribosomal RNA is filed under the name uncultured bacterium. RNAcentral's name for it is "partial 16S ribosomal RNA". It matches the Rfam family "Bacterial small subunit ribosomal RNA", at positions 328 to 538 of the family's 1533-position model. The record is from RNAcentral.
ACGCUCGACACCUACGGAGGCAGCAGUUGGGAAUAUUGGACAAUGGAGGAAACUCUGAUCCAGUGACGCCGCGUGAAGGAAGAAGGUCUUCGGAUUGUAAAACUUAUUUUUGUCAGGGAAAGAAAAAAAUGACUGUACCUGAAGAAAAAGCACCGGCUAACUACGUGCCAGCACGCCGUACGGUAAUUCUGGAGGCGGGUCCGUGGGACGAAACGGC